This 443-nucleotide ribosomal RNA is filed under the name uncultured bacterium. RNAcentral's name for it is "partial 16S ribosomal RNA". It matches the Rfam family "Bacterial small subunit ribosomal RNA", at positions 338 to 795 of the family's 1533-position model. The record is from RNAcentral.
CCUACGGGUGGCUGCAGUGGGGAAUAUUGGGCAAUGGAGGAAACUCUGACCCAGCAAUGCCGCGUGAAUGAAGAAGGUCUUCGGAUUGUAAAGUUCUUUAGUCAGGGAAGAAUAAAAUGACGGUACCUGAAGAAUAAGCUCCGGCUAACUACGUGCCAGCAGCCGCGGUAAUACGUAGGGGGCAAGCGUUAUCCGGAUUUACUGGGUGUAAAGGGAGCGUAGACGGCAGCACAAGUCUGGAGUGAAAUGCCGGGGCUUAACCCCGGAACUGCUUUGGAAACUGUGCAGCUAGAGUGCAGGAGAGGUAAGUGGAAUUCCUAGUGUAGCGGUGAAAUGCGUAGAUAUUAGGAGGAACACCAGUGGCGAAGGCGGCUUACUGGACUGUAACUGACGUUGAGGCUCGAAAGCGUGGGGAGCAAACAGGAUUAGAUACCCGAGUAGUC